GCGGGAGUAAUUCAAUGGCAGAAUGCCACCCUUCCAAGGUGGACGUUGCCGGUUCGAACCCGGUCUCCCGCU
Molecule: transfer RNA, 72 nt
Filed under: Pseudomonadota bacterium
Lineage: Bacteria; Pseudomonadati; Pseudomonadota
Also listed under: 1 other name
Description: tRNA-Gly
Rfam family: tRNA
About the family: Transfer RNA (tRNA) molecules are approximately 80 nucleotides in length. Their secondary structure includes four short double-helical elements and three loops (D, anti-codon, and T loops). Further hydrogen bonds mediate the characteristic L-shaped molecular structure. tRNAs have two regions of fundamental functional importance: the anti-codon, which is responsible for specific mRNA codon recognition, and the 3' end, to which the tRNAs corresponding amino acid is attached (by aminoacyl-tRNA synthetases). tRNAs cope with the degeneracy of the genetic code in two manners: having more than one tRNA (with a specific anti-codon) for a particular amino acid; and 'wobble' base-pairing, i.e. permitting non-standard base-pairing at the 3rd anti-codon position.
Source: RNAcentral